UUAGCUAGAAUUAAAAUCCUCAAUUUCUUCAUUUGUUAUGAGUUCAGAGAAUGUUAAUCUUUUUAAAGGCAGGUAAAAGCAUAGACCACAUAGGUAUAAUCAAGUGAAUAUUUAGACGUGAAUUCCUCCUACACCACUCAUGCCAACAUAAUAAUAACUUCCAUGUUUUUCCAAUGGCAGGAUAUCUCAGAAUGAUGAGUGAUCACUAUUUGUUUAAUGUCUUAUCUAAAAGUAAACCAAAAGCAUAGCUGUAAAAGGAAAAGGAAAAUAAAACUAGUUUAUAUUUAAUACAAGUUCCUUGGAAACAGAAUUCAGAACAAGCCAUUCUUAAUGUACCCAAUGUUCUCAGCUGUUUCCUUUCAUCUUGUCUCCAGUCAAUACCCCUACCUUCAUUUCAGAAACUUUAUUAAUUUAACGCACCAAGCAUGGAUCAAGAAGAAAGAUGGAUAAGUGUGGACAAGAAAAUAAAUUUUCUGGAAUACCAAGCUAAAGGAUGGUGAUGGAUGGAGCCAUACCUUCCAACUACAGAGUAAUCU
This 536-nucleotide long non-coding RNA is filed under the name Phaseolus vulgaris (common bean). RNAcentral's name for it is "long non-coding RNA (PVUL_LNC005331)". Lineage: Eukaryota; Viridiplantae; Streptophyta; Magnoliopsida; Fabales; Fabaceae. The record is from RNAcentral.